GUGGCUCAGUGGUAGGGCAUUUGCCUGGCAUGCAGAAGUUCAUAGGUUCCAUCCCUGGCACCU
Molecule: transfer RNA, 63 nt
Filed under: Sphaerodactylus townsendi
Lineage: Eukaryota; Metazoa; Chordata; Lepidosauria; Squamata; Sphaerodactylidae
Description: tRNA-Ala
Rfam family: tRNA
About the family: Transfer RNA (tRNA) molecules are approximately 80 nucleotides in length. Their secondary structure includes four short double-helical elements and three loops (D, anti-codon, and T loops). Further hydrogen bonds mediate the characteristic L-shaped molecular structure. tRNAs have two regions of fundamental functional importance: the anti-codon, which is responsible for specific mRNA codon recognition, and the 3' end, to which the tRNAs corresponding amino acid is attached (by aminoacyl-tRNA synthetases). tRNAs cope with the degeneracy of the genetic code in two manners: having more than one tRNA (with a specific anti-codon) for a particular amino acid; and 'wobble' base-pairing, i.e. permitting non-standard base-pairing at the 3rd anti-codon position.
Source: RNAcentral